GACGAACGCUGGCGGCGCGCCUAACACAUGCAAGUCGAACGGAGCGGCGAGAAGCUUGCUUUUCUUAGCUUAGUGGCGAACGGGUGAGUAACGCGUGAGUAACCUGCCCUGGAGUGGGGGACAACAGUUGGAAACGACUGCUAAUACCGCAUAAGCCCACGAUCCGGCAUCGGCUAGAGGGAAAAGGAUUUAUUCGCUUCAGGAUGGACGCGCGUCCAAUUAGCUAGUUGGUGAGGUAACGGGCCACCAAGGCGACGAAUGGUAGCCUGACUGAGAGGUUGAACGGCCACAUUGGGACUGAGACACGGCCCAGACUCCUACGGGAUGCAGCAGUGGGUGAUAUUGCACAAUGGCGGAAACCCUGAUGCAGCGACGCCGCGUGGAGGAAGAAGGUUUUCGGAUUGUAAACUCCUGUUGUUAGUGACGAUAAUGACGGUACCUAACAAGAAAGCACCGGCUAACUACGUG
Molecule: ribosomal RNA, 468 nt
Filed under: uncultured bacterium
Lineage: Bacteria
Description: partial 16S ribosomal RNA
Rfam family: Bacterial small subunit ribosomal RNA
Source: RNAcentral